AUGCAGGCCCCUCCCCGGCCCGCCCGCGGGUCUCACCGGGGCCCCGGCCUGGGCCGCGGGGCGGGGGGUCGGUCUCCGGGGGACGCCUCGGGUGCGUGGAGGGCGCGGGCGCGAGCUCCCGCCGCUGCCAGUGGUCCCCGAGCGGCCGCCGCCGCCACCGCCUUAUCGCGGCGCCGCCCCCGCCGGCCCCCGCCCCGCGCCCGCCCAUUGGCUCCGCCGCGCCCGGAGCCGCCUCCGGGGCCCCGGCGCCGCCGCCGACCCCCUCUGCGCUUUGUCUUCCCCUCGCUCGCGUCCCCUGCCUUUGUCUGCCCCGCCGCCCCGACCCCGCGCUCCGGCGCCCGCGCCGCCCCCGCCGGCCCGCUCCAGACCGAGGCGGGGACGAUCGCCGGGGCGUCCCUGGGCCUCCCGCGGCCUCAGUUUCCCCAGGGUGACAGCCCCGCGGGGGCGGCCGGGUCCGGGAUCCCACGCCCGCUCCGGCCGCGGAGCCCUCCCGCCGCCAGAGGCCGCCCCCGAGGCGGCAGGGCCAGCCGGCACGCGGUCCCGCCCCGCGAGGCUGCGAGGCUGCGAGGCUGCGAGGCGCGGCGCCCCGUGGUGGUCACCUGGGGCCGCCGGCUCCCCGCGGGCCGGUCUGUGGGGGUCCGGUCUGCUGCGACCCCACAGGCAAGGGCCCCCGGAGGCUGCAAGGCCCGCGGCGCGACAGCGUUCCUGUGGUGCCCGUGUGUGGCGGGAGUCCCGCCGCGCCUCACCCACCGACACCGUCGCCUGAGAGAAAUCGAGGGCACCCCCUUCGGACGGUUCCGUCCUUCAGACAAGCGAAUCUCAAUCUCGGCGCCCGAACCUCCCUUGAACCUCCCUUACCGCGAGGGAGCGAGGGAGCGAGGCCUGAAGAUGCAACGCCGGCUCCAAGUACCCAAGCUGGGCGGCGGGCUUGGCCGCUCCGUACUCCCUGCCCGCUGGCCCAGCGGCUGCCCGGGCUCCAGCACACCGCUGGACGGUGGGAGGGCACAGGGGGUGACUGUCACCCACGGGGGGGGGGGGGGGUAG
Molecule: long non-coding RNA, 1044 nt
Filed under: Canis lupus familiaris (dog)
Lineage: Eukaryota; Metazoa; Chordata; Mammalia; Carnivora; Canidae
Description: lncRNA (ENSCAFG00030012268.1)
Source: RNAcentral